This 813-nucleotide long non-coding RNA is filed under the name Anas platyrhynchos platyrhynchos (common mallard). RNAcentral describes it as "lncRNA (ENSAPLG00000030246.1)". The record is from RNAcentral. Lineage: Eukaryota; Metazoa; Chordata; Aves; Anseriformes; Anatidae.
CGUAGAUAAUGGACUAGGUCAUAAUUAGUACAUUUGAAGACCACACCAGGCUAAAAGUAGUUGCAUAUACCAGAGGGCAACUUUAGAAUAUAAAAUGGUCUUGACAAACUGAAUAAAUAACCAGACAGAGGAAAAAGAAGGAAAAGAGAGAAAGAAAAUGAAAAGAAGGAAAGAAGAGAUGGAGUACAGAAAAUUAUUCUUGUAGGGCUGUUUCUAUCACUGAAGAAAAAAAAAAACAUGAAGAGAGAUGUGAGGCAUAACUGAGAAUGAAGGACUGUAAGGGAGGAGUGGAAAAAGAAAAGGAUGGUUGGAAGUAAGGAAGAAUACGUAUCAAAGAGAAGAUUGCAAAAAGGAAAUGCAAGGAGAAGGAGAAAAAAUUCAAGGAAUGGAUAUCUGGGCAUGUUCAUCAACAGACUCCAUGUCAACAAUUGAUAUGAAGCUUCAAAUGGACCAGAAAACAGGAUACAGGAGGAAACAAGGUGACCUUAGCUGAAAGGCAGCAAGACACUUAUAUUAGCCAUCAUAUCAGAAACCUUAUGCAGAAUCAAACUGUGUAUCAGAGGCAAGAAAAACAUAGAGCUUCUGGUUAACAAAUAAGGAGGAAAGAAAUACAACAUUAACAAGAACUGGUAAAAAGCAACUUCAUUAGUUGCAAAAUUCUUCGAGAGAGGGAAAACUUUAAAACUGAAGACAAAUGAAAAGAACAAAGUUAGAGAGACUAGACUAUUUCAGGUGAACAAAAUAUUAUUAUACCAUAAACCUAAAUAUUAUUAUACCAUAUACUAAGAAAUUUCUCAUUUUCAUUAAUGACUG